GUCUUUCAUCGCCCCACUGUCCCAAUGAGAAUAUAUAGGUUUUAUUGUCACAGCAGCAAGAAAGUAAGCGGGAACAUGUAUAAGCACGCCAAGGAUCACAAGAGAAGCUAGACCUCCGCACUGACCUAUGGAACAAUAGCUCCAAAACAUCAUCCAUCAGAGCUGUUGAAACAUCCCCUGUACUGUGUUACACAAGAAUGUGUCACACAGUGGAAGAAUCAGCCUUCAGCUCAGAGUGUAAAUCCAACCUGACAGGACUGCUGAGACGGCUCUGCGUCCAC
This is a long non-coding RNA of Gambusia affinis (western mosquitofish), 281 nucleotides long. RefSeq lists it as uncharacterized. The record is from RefSeq and is a predicted model, not a curated record. NCBI's taxonomy places the organism in Eukaryota, Metazoa, Chordata, Actinopteri, Cyprinodontiformes, Poeciliidae. The transcript is spliced from 3 exons.